RNAcentral lists this ribosomal RNA (377 nucleotides) under uncultured bacterium. RNAcentral's name for it is "bacterial SSU rRNA". It matches the Rfam family "Bacterial small subunit ribosomal RNA", at positions 523 to 898 of the family's 1533-position model. The record is from RNAcentral.
AUACGAAGGGUGCAAGCGUUACUCGGAAUUACUGGGCGUAAAGCGUGCGUAGGUGGUUGUUUAAGUCUGUCGUGAAAGCCCUGGGCUCAACCUGGGAAUUGCGAUGGAAACUGGGCAACUAGAGUGUGGCAGAGGAUAGUGGAAUUCCUGGUGUAGCAGUGAAAUGCGUAGAGAUCAGGAGGAACAUCCGUGGCGAAGGCGACUGUCUGGGCCAACACUGACACUGAGGCACGAAAGCGUGGGGAGCAAACAGGAUUAGAUACCCUGGUAGUCCACGCCCUAAACGAUGCGAACUGGAUGUUGGGUGCAAUUUGGCACGCAGUAUCGAAGCUAACGCGUUAAGUUCGCCGCCUGGGGAGUACGGUCGCAAGACUGAA